UACAGAGGAUGCAAGCGUUAUCCGGAAUGAUUGGGCGUAAAGCGUCUGUAGGUGGCUUUUUAAGUCCGCCGUCAAAUCCCAGGGCUCAACUCUGGACAGGCGGUGGGAACUACCAAGCUGGAGUACGGUAGGGGCAGAGGGAAUUUCCGGUGGAGCGGUGAAAUGCGCAGAUAUCAGGAGGAACACCGGUGGCGAAGGCGGUGGUCUGGGCCGGCACUGACGCUGAGGAGCGAAAGCGUGGGUAGCAAACAGG
This 253-nucleotide ribosomal RNA is filed under the name uncultured bacterium. Its description in RNAcentral is "partial 16S ribosomal RNA". It matches the Rfam family "Bacterial small subunit ribosomal RNA", at positions 524 to 776 of the family's 1533-position model. The record is from RNAcentral.